Molecule: ribosomal RNA, 805 nt
Filed under: uncultured bacterium
Lineage: Bacteria
Description: bacterial SSU rRNA
Rfam family: Bacterial small subunit ribosomal RNA
Source: RNAcentral
UUGGGCGUAAAGAGCUCGUAGGCGGUUUGUUGCGUCGGCUGUGAAAACCUGAGGCUCAACCUCAGGCCUGCAGUCGAUACGAGCAGACUAGAGUGUUGCAGGGGAGACUGGAAUUCCUGGUGUAGCGGUGAAAUGCGCAGAUAUCAGGAGGAACACCGGUGGCGAAGGCGGGUCUCUGGGCAACAACUGACGCUGAGGAGCGAAAGCGUGGGGAGCGAACAGGAUUAGAUACCCUGGUAGUCCACGCCGUAAACGUUGGGCGCUAGGUGUGGGGCUCAUUCCACGAGUUCCGUGCCGCAGCUAACGCAUUAAGCGCCCCGCCUGGGGAGUACGGCCGCAGGGCUAAAACUCAAAGGAAUUGACGGGGGCCCGCACAAGCGGCGGAGCAUGUUGCUUAAUUCGAUGCAACGCGAAGAACCUUACCUAGGCUUGACAUGCACGGAAAUCCUCCAGAGAUGGUGGGUCCGUAAGGGCCGUGCACAGGUGGUGCAUGGUUGUCGUCAGCUCGUGUCGUGAGAUGUUGGGUUAAGUCCCGCAACGAGCGCAACCCUCGUUCUAUGUUGCCAGCACGUCAUGGUGGGGACUCAUAGGAGACUGCCGGGGUCAACUCGGAGGAAGGUGGGGAUGACGUCAAAUCAUCAUGCCCCUUAUGUCUAGGGCUGCAAACAUGCUACAAUGGCCGGUACAAAGGGCUGCGAUACCGCGAGGUGGAGCGAAUCCCAAAAAGCCGGUCUCAGUUCGGAUUGGGGUCUGCAACUCGACCCCAUGAAGUUGGAGUCGCUAGUAAUCGCAGAUCAGCAACGCU